RNAcentral lists this long non-coding RNA (250 nucleotides) under Elaeis guineensis (African oil palm). RNAcentral's name for it is "long non-coding RNA (EGUI_LNC007039)". Lineage: Eukaryota; Viridiplantae; Streptophyta; Magnoliopsida; Arecales; Arecaceae. The record is from RNAcentral.
GCCAGUAGAACUUAUUGGUUGAAGUCCAAGUCUUAAAUUAUUGCUAUAAAUAAAUUAUUAAAAUUAUAUUUUCUCACUCAAGUUUCUAUGGCCAGAGCGGGGCCUCCCCACCCGUACAAUACACACACAGAGAUAGAGAUAGAGAGAUAGGGGGAUGGUUGCCCAACUGGACCUUUAGAUUGGGGUAGCUUGUGAAGUCAUGGAAAAAUUAUUAGUUGAAUCAGGUCCAUCACGUCAUUUUUGGAUCUGA